UUUUGCUGGGGGCUGUUCAUUAACAUUUCUUUGAGGUGGACUUUGGCCUAGGGCCUUUUCGGGACUUCAUUAACAUUCCAUGAGCUGUCCUGCGUUUCCCGGAAUCAUUGCCAGCAUGGCCUCCAUUUUAGAUUUCACUCGGCAUUAGACCCGAUUUAUCUAACUACACUGGCUACCUAACUUUAAAUCUGGCUUCAGUAUUAGUGUGAACUCUUGGAAAACAGGAUGGAAACCUAAUUUAUUUCUUGACCUGAUUUCCCAGAAAUCUUACAGUGUGGCUUAUAUCUGUGAUGCCUUUAUUCUGAAGGGAUCAUGAAUUUACAAACUAUUUUUCUAAAGAAAACAGUGUUGCACUUUUUU
This 360-nucleotide long non-coding RNA is filed under the name Marmota monax (woodchuck). The record is from RNAcentral. Lineage: Eukaryota; Metazoa; Chordata; Mammalia; Rodentia; Sciuridae.